This 253-nucleotide ribosomal RNA is filed under the name uncultured bacterium. Its description in RNAcentral is "partial 16S ribosomal RNA". It matches the Rfam family "Bacterial small subunit ribosomal RNA", at positions 524 to 776 of the family's 1533-position model. The record is from RNAcentral.
UACAGAGGGUGCGAGCGUUGUUCGGAAUUAUUGGGCGUAAAGGGCGCGUAGGCGGUGCGGUAAGUCACCUGUGAAAUCUCCUGGCUCAACUGGGAGCUUGCAGGCGAAACUGCCGUGCUGGAGUGUGGGAGAGGUGCGUGGAAUUCCUGGUGUAGCGGUGAAAUGCGUAGAUAUCAGGAGGAACACCUGUGGCGAAAGCGGCGCACUGGACCACAACUGACGCUGAGGCGCGAAAGCUAGGGGAGCGAACAGG